UGACAGACGAGAAACGCUUCGUGUGUAGUGUAACGAUGGAGUCUUGUGAUAAAUGUGGCGGGGAGGCAAAAAAGUUCACCUGACUAAAACUAGCCUAGAUCGAACGAUUUUGCGUCAGAGCGUGCCGUGUGCAAAGCGGCCGGUCAUUAGCAAUAAUUAACUUAACACCGCCUUUAUUGUGAUAGCGCCAGUGCAUCUUUUGUCUCGGGCGCUAACGAGGCAAACGUGUUACGGACCCGUAUUUUGUCUGCGCUUACUAAUGGCCGGAACUCCCACUCAGAAAGGGAAACAAUCCGCGAAGGCCGGAUCGCGGUGUCUGUUGACGUAGUUGGUGAGUGCUGGCUGGAAGGCCGGCGAGGGCGGCACGAACGCGAGACACACAGCCAACAGCUCCCAGCCGCGGAGCAGCGAGUCGCGGAGAGGGUUCUCUGUAGUCUGACGACACAGCUGCACGUACAGCUCGUCACGCAAUCUAUACACACACAGCAUUUUUUUAAGUUGCGUGAAGUAUAUCCUGGGCAACAGAGUUGAGCGUCAUACCAGGGCGGGCUUUGCGGUCUCCCAUGUAUAUCUGUACGAGUCGGAACAGAUCUAUGGCGGCCUUUUUAUGAGUCUUGUCCCAUUCCGCUCCCACCAUGGGGGCGCUAAUCGAUGAUGACGUCCAAGAAAGCAUGUCACGGACUGACGCCUGGAAUUACAAUAUAUAUAUUUUUCAAAUUAAUAUCACUAUUUUUAGUUGUAAAAGAAGUCAUGCAUUAAGAGUAACUGUUAAAAAGCAAUAUUAAUUUUUGAAUAAGUUGUGGGAUACAAACCUUUCUCCUGAAUAUUCCUUUGUUGAAAUUGAGAUUGUCCUUUGCGAAUAUCUCUAUAUCCUGUUCGGGCGGCGGGUGUAGGUGGGUGUGUGGGUGCGAGUGUGGAUGCGAGUGGGAGUGCGAAUGUGGGUGCGACCUCACGGGACUAUACAAGGCGUCCGCUCGGCUGCACUCGCCCGCACUCGUGUUCCCCGUACUAGAGGACACCGCAGGAGCACCCGAACCACCCAAGGACGACGUCUGUAAUAAAUAACAAUUAACAUUAUCAAAUCUGUGCGAAACAUUAAAUUAAGUAUGAUUAGGCUAA
This is a long non-coding RNA of Danaus plexippus (monarch butterfly), 1119 nucleotides long. RefSeq lists it as uncharacterized. Lineage: Eukaryota; Metazoa; Arthropoda; Insecta; Lepidoptera; Nymphalidae. The record is from RefSeq and is a predicted model, not a curated record. The transcript is spliced from 3 exons.